GACGAACGCUGGCGGCGUGCUUAACACAUGCAAGUCGAACGGAAAGGCCUUUUCGGAGGUACUCGAGUGGCGAACGGGUGAGUAACACGUGGGUGAUCUGCCCUGCACUCUGGGAUAAGCCUGGGAAACUGGGUCUAAUACCGGAUAGGACCGCACUUUAGUGUGUGUGGUGGAAAGUUUUUUCGGUGUAGGAUGAGCCCGCGGCCUAUCAGCUUGUUGGUGGGGUAAUGGCCUACCAAGGCGGCGACGGGUAGCCGGACUGAGAGGUUGGUCGGCCACAUUGGGACUGAGAUACGGCCCAGACUCCUACGGGAGGCAGCAGGGGGGAAGAUUGCACAAGGGGCGCAAGCCUGAUGCAGCGACGCCGCGGGGGGGAUGACGGCCUUCGGGUUGUAAACUCCUUUCGCCAGGGACGAAGCGUUUUGUGACGGUACCUGGAGAAGAAGCACCGGCUAACUACGUG
RNAcentral lists this ribosomal RNA (463 nucleotides) under uncultured bacterium. RNAcentral's name for it is "partial 16S ribosomal RNA". It matches the Rfam family "Bacterial small subunit ribosomal RNA", at positions 28 to 507 of the family's 1533-position model. The record is from RNAcentral.